This 41-nucleotide ribosomal RNA is filed under the name Elsinoe elaeocarpi. RNAcentral describes it as "partial 18S ribosomal RNA". Lineage: Eukaryota; Fungi; Ascomycota; Dothideomycetes; Myriangiales; Elsinoaceae. The record is from RNAcentral.
AAAUGCUGACAUCACAAGGUGAACCUGCGGAAGGAUCAUUA